GAUAAAUGCAGCCAUUAGUUUCGGCGCCCAACUUUGAUCGUCCGUUUUAUUUAAAAACUUUUUAUAAUUAGCAUUUUUGUUGUUAUAAGAUGAUAAAACAUGGAUAGUACUUUACUCGUGACUUAUGUCUUUAAUUUUUUUUAAAAAAAUUUCAAAUAAGACGAAUGGUCAAAGUUGAGCGCUGAAAACCAUGACUGCACUUAUU
Oryza glumipatula is the source of this 205-nucleotide non-coding RNA. Lineage: Eukaryota; Viridiplantae; Streptophyta; Magnoliopsida; Poales; Poaceae. The record is from Rfam.